GACGAACGCUGGCGGCGUGCUUAACACAUGCAAGUCGAACGGUGAAGGGAUCAGCUUGCUGGUUCUGGAUGAGUGGCGAACGGGUGAGUAACACGUGAGUAACCUGCCCCCUUCUUCUGGAUAACCGCAUGAAAGUGUGGCUAAUACGGGAUAUUCUGGGUCUGUCGCAUGAUGGGUCUGGGAAAGAUAUUGUUUCGGUGGGGGAUGGGCUCGCGGCCUAUCAGCUUGUUGGUGGGGUGAUGGCCUACCAAGGCGGUGACGGGUAGCCGGCCUGAGAGGGGGGGGGGGCCAGAGGGGGAAAGAGGCCCGGCCGAGACCCGGAGGGGGGGGGGGGGGGGGGAAGAGGGCAAGUGGGGGGCGGGCCGGGGGCCGCGGCGCCGGGGGAGGGGGGGGGGCUUGGGGGUUGUAAUCCUUUUGGGGCAGGAAAGCAGCCGUGUUCUUUGUGGGGGGUUGGACGGUAGCUGAAAAAGAAGCGCGGGCAAACUACGGG
RNAcentral lists this ribosomal RNA (490 nucleotides) under uncultured bacterium. Its description in RNAcentral is "partial 16S ribosomal RNA". It matches the Rfam family "Bacterial small subunit ribosomal RNA", at positions 28 to 507 of the family's 1533-position model. The record is from RNAcentral.